RNAcentral lists this long non-coding RNA (587 nucleotides) under Lathyrus oleraceus (garden pea). RNAcentral describes it as "Pisum sativum (pea) long non-coding RNA (PSAT_LNC032912)". Lineage: Eukaryota; Viridiplantae; Streptophyta; Magnoliopsida; Fabales; Fabaceae. The record is from RNAcentral.
AUUAUGGAUAAUGUGUCUCAAUUGAAAUUAUUUAAUUAAUAAAUAAAAAGAAAUAACACGUAGGUAAAAAAAUUACUUGAUGUACAUGCCACCCCAUAAAUUUUGUUGGUUGGAUUUAAUAAAAGAAUAAAUAUUAAAAUAAAAUAAAAAUAAAUUAUUAUCAUUAUUCAUGAGCUUGGCUACAUUUAAAGCGAGGUGGUGCAGGGUGGGGUCAAAUAAUAAUAUCUGAGUUUUAAGAGUGUGUAACACGUGUAUUAAAUAUUAAAUGAGCUAACUCUAUCAGUCAAUGUAUGGCUGGCAGAAGAGCUCUUUUCUGAUUAUACAGCUCAUUCCAUUCCACGAGGUGCACUUAGGCUUGUGGCCAAGCAAGUCUACCUCCAUAGAUUUUAUGUCAGAGUAUACUUUAUAAUUUAUUUAAUACAUAACUUGGUUUCAUAAGAGACAAACAUUACCAAUCAAUAUAUUCGAUGGGGCUUUUAUUACUUGUGGUGUCCUAGAUCAUGUAAACCUUAAUGUAACCAAAGAUAAGAAGAAUAAACUCUAAGGGCUUUCAAAUUAAUAUAUAAUUUUUCUAUUUCUUUUAUAAA